UUGACCUCGGAUCAGGUAGGAAUACCCGCUGAACUUAAGCAUAUCAAAAGGCGG
RNAcentral lists this ribosomal RNA (54 nucleotides) under Fusarium commune. Its description in RNAcentral is "partial 28S ribosomal RNA". The record is from RNAcentral. Lineage: Eukaryota; Fungi; Ascomycota; Sordariomycetes; Hypocreales; Nectriaceae.